RNAcentral lists this ribosomal RNA (852 nucleotides) under uncultured Candidatus Poseidoniales archaeon. Its description in RNAcentral is "SSU rRNA". It matches the Rfam family "Archaeal small subunit ribosomal RNA", at positions 47 to 906 of the family's 1478-position model. The record is from RNAcentral. Lineage: Archaea; Methanobacteriati; Thermoplasmatota; Candidatus Poseidoniia; Candidatus Poseidoniales.
AGCCAUGCGAGUCGAGAGAAUAAGAUUCUCGGCAUACCGCUCAGUAACACGUGGAUAACUGCCCUGUGCUGGGGGAUAACCUCGCGAAAGUGAGAACAAUACCCCAUGGGUCACUAUGCCUGGAACGGUUAGUGGCUGAAAGCUCCGGCGGCACAGGAUGGGUCUGCGGCGUAUCAGGUCGUAGGGGGUGUAACGUACCUCCUAGCCUUCGACGCGUACGGGUUGUGAGAGCAAUUGCCCGGAGAUGGAUUCUGAGACACGAAUCCAGGCCCUACGGGGCGCAGCAGGCGCGAAAACUUGACAAUGCGAGAAAUCGUGAUCAGGGGACUCCAGUUGGCUGGAUCAAAAGUCCAGUCUGAACCGACUUUAAAUCGGUCGGGUAAUAGGGGCGGGAAAGACCGGUGCCAGCCGCCGCGGUAAUACCGGCGCCCCAAGUGGUCGUCACUAUUAUUGGGCCUAAAACGUCCGUAGCCGGUUUGGUAAAUCCGUGGGUAAAUCAGACAGCCCAACUGUCUGAAUUCUGCGGGGACUGCCAGACUUGAGACCGGGAGAGGUGCGGGGUACUUGCGGGGUACCGGUAAAAUGGGAUCAUCCCGUAGAGACCACCUGUUGCGAAGGCGCCGCACUAGAACGGAUCUGACGGUCAGGGACGAAGCCUAGGGGCACGAACCGGAUUAGAUACCCGGGUAGUCCUAGGUGUAAACGCUGUGGACUUGGUGUCGGGGACCUUCUGAGGGUUUCCGGUGCCGGAGUGAAGAUGUUAAGUCCACUGCCUGGGGAGUACGGUCGUAAGGCUGAAACUUAAAGGAAUUGGCGGGGGAGCACCGCAACGAGAGGAGCGUGCGGUUUAAU